GGCUAACGCUGGCGGCGUGUCUUAGCCAUGCAAGUCGAGCGGACUUAUGGGGUAACUUAUAAGUCAGCGGCGGACGGCGGAGUAACACGUAGCUAACCUACCCUCUGGACGGGGAUAACCUACCGAAAGGUGGGCUAAUACCCGAUGUAGUCAUCCUGUAUAGGGGUGAUGAAAGGUGGGCUUCUGUUUACAAGCUCAUGCUGGAGGAGGGGGCUGCGGCCUAUCAGGUAGUUGGUAGGGUAAUAGCCUACCAAGCCGAUGACGGGUAGCCGGCCUGAGAGGGUGACCGGCCCGAGGGGCACUGAGAUACGGGUCCCACUCCUACGGGAGGCAAGCAGGCUAGGAAUUUGGGCAAUGGGGGAAACCCUGACCCAGUGACGCCGCGUGCAGGAAGGAGCCCUUCGGGGUGUAAACUGCUGUCGUGUAGGGAGAAGGGUACUAAGGUGAACAAUCUUAGUACUUGACGGUACUACAGGAGGAAGCCCAGGCUAACCUCGUGCCAGCAGCCGACGGUAAAAUAGCGUACU
This 527-nucleotide ribosomal RNA is filed under the name uncultured bacterium. RNAcentral's name for it is "bacterial SSU rRNA". It matches the Rfam family "Bacterial small subunit ribosomal RNA", at positions 28 to 531 of the family's 1533-position model. The record is from RNAcentral.